RNAcentral lists this long non-coding RNA (283 nucleotides) under Elaeis guineensis (African oil palm). Its description in RNAcentral is "long non-coding RNA (EGUI_LNC038301)". Lineage: Eukaryota; Viridiplantae; Streptophyta; Magnoliopsida; Arecales; Arecaceae. The record is from RNAcentral.
AUUGAAUUUAGAAGUUGAGUUAGGAUUAGCUCUUCUUGCUUAUGGAGCUGACCUUUGACAAAGCUAUCCCAAGAAGGAGGCAUGUUAUCAAGAAGGCUCGAGACCUUAAAUUCUUCAGCAAGAAUGGUUCCAUUAGUUUGAAGCUUCCUAAGGUAUUCUUGGAAUUGGUGGAGUUGGUCAUUUAUAGGUUUGUCGUCUACCAUAACAUAUCUAAGAAAUGAUGUGAUGUUGAACCGUUCAACCCGAGCAUUAUAAAGACCAUAUUCAGACUCUAGGUUAUCUC